CUUCCCAACGCCGAAUCCCCAUUUCAAUUUGAUCCUAAUCCAAAAAACAAAAAAAAAAAAAAAAAAACCCUAGAAAUGAAUCCUCUCUAAUUGUUUCAAUGGGGAGCUUCAACAUUCUCCCCAAGGAGAUCGUGUUGCACAUUUUUACUCACUUACCAGCUGAAUCAUGGACGACAUCAUUUCCUCGACUCCACUUAACUCAUCUUCGUAAUUCCUCCAGUAAGUUGAGUUUGUUUCUCUUAAGUGGUAUCAACAGAGGAUUUCAAUAUUAACUGAGUACGAUUGUAGGAUUCCAAUUGAGAGUAGCUGAGUAGGCCAAUUACAAGGAUGAAGUUAAACCCUAUACCAUUUCAGUAUUAUGAAAUUGUUGGUUCAUUUAAUGGUUUGAUUUGUAUGUUAUGAUUGUGAUCUUGGUUUGUUGGAGCCAUAUGACUAUGAUCCUACUUAUAUCUGUAAUUCUAUCACCAGAGAGUAUCUUGCUCUUCAAAACUUGAGAUGCCGUAUACGAAAUUUAAGAAUCGUUUGUUGAGUGGAUUCAGUUAUUGUUCAUCGACUGGUGGUACAAAGUUGUUAGGAUCAGCAGGUUAGGUAAAGAAUCAGAUAUUAUACAUGUUGAGAUUUAUACUCUUGGCAGUGGUAAUGGUUGGCGAAAUUUAGGUAGUUAUGCAGAAGAGUAUUUUUUUUCUAAAUACAGUCGGUGAGUUUGCGAACGAGGCUUAACAUUGGAUUGAAAACAAAGGAAGGAUAGUGGCAUUUGAUUUGGUUAAUGAAAGUUUUCAUGAAAUUCCAUUACCACCAAUUUUGCUAAAUUGUAAUUGGCAGGGGAUGAUGGCUGUUGAAGUUGGGGUUUUAAGUGGUUAUUUGAUGUGUCUCCAUCUUGGAAGAGGGAGAUCUGUUGAUAUAUGGUUAUUGAAGAAGAAGGAGAAUGGCGGUGGUCUUUAUGACAUGAAAGAAGAGGUAGAUUACAGUUCAAUGAGCUGGAAUAAAGAGUUUAGCUUAGUUGGUUCUGAACCAUUUGCUUAUACAUAGAGUGGUGUAGUUCUGUGUUUCCAUACUAAUCUUGUAUCUACCAAGCUCAGUUGUUAUGACUUCAGAUCUUCGACUGAUGAUGUGCUUGGUUACUUUUGUCAAGAAAUUUCUCCACCACCAAUCCCUCACCUGAACACCUUGAUUUCAUUGAAAGGUUUAGGAGAGAAUAACACGAAAAUGAUGGAAUCAUUUAAAGUGGCAAUUCGUCUGCAAAGGAGCAAUUGAAAUGGUGAAAUUGAUACGUACAAAUACAAACAAAAGGGUUUCAUUCGGAGGUCGCUUCAUAAAUGCAUGGAAGCUUUUCUCGAAAUUAAAUAAUCUGGUGCCUCGAGUCCAUCUUUUGAUCUUGAGGGUUAUACAUGAAGGAACUGCGAUUUUCAAAGUUAUGGACUGUCACCCCCAGAAGAGGCAUCACUCUGCAAGUUAAGUAGGAGCCACCUGAAAAUCCGCGGAUCACUGAUGCUUCCUUCUUUUCUAAUACUGGCGCUUGUACUGUGGUGGCUAGGAAUUCUGAAGCAAAGUUUGAAGGUGGUGGAACUUGUGGGCACAAUUGUCUCUCCCCAUUGAAGGAUGAAACUAAAGCUAUUCUUCUGGCUUUGAUACUUGGCUGAGGAAAAGCUUUGGAAAGACUCUCACUGGAAGUGAUGUUGAAAAAGUGAUCAAGGUGCUCAACAAGGUGAUGAAGUCUUAUUGCAGAUCAGUAGCAGGGCUGAUUCCUUCAUCAGAGCCCAGUUCCAGUUUAGAAAGGUGCAAAUGAAGCUGCACGCUCUCGAGCAAGUUUUGCGUUUAAAGCCAUGGUGGUUAUCUCCUUCCCCUACUUGUAUUGCUAUGUGAUAGAGACUGUGUUCUCUUUUAGUUCUAUUUUUGUUUUUCUUUUGCAAAAGGAAAAAAAAUGUAGAAAAUAAAAACUUUGCAUAAUGGAUUAUAAAGUGUCGUAUAUACGCAUAUGCAAAAUUGCACUCCA
Long non-coding RNA from Papaver somniferum (opium poppy), 1993 nucleotides. RefSeq lists it as uncharacterized. Lineage: Eukaryota; Viridiplantae; Streptophyta; Magnoliopsida; Ranunculales; Papaveraceae. The transcript has 3 exons. The record is from RefSeq and is a predicted model, not a curated record.